This 1105-nucleotide small RNA is filed under the name Arabidopsis thaliana (thale cress). Its description in RNAcentral is "[] (AT1G25175)". The record is from RNAcentral. Lineage: Eukaryota; Viridiplantae; Streptophyta; Magnoliopsida; Brassicales; Brassicaceae.
UUCUCUCCUCCAGAAAAAUAAUUAGGAUUAUUAUAUUAUUAUUUGUUUUGUUUCCUCGAAUAAAAAAGAGAAUCCGAGAACUUUUUAAGACAAAAGCCAAGUCUUCGAAACCUUAUGAGAUGUGAUAGGGUUACAAGGGUAAAACAGGAACUCAGAAUAAAAAUAAGUUAAUCGAGAAAGCUCCAAAUAAACACCACUCGUCCGCCUCUCUGUCUCUCACCAAAAUAAAAAACUCAAUCUCUCUCUCUCUCUCUCCAUCGAGAAACACUAAACUGCUAUAAUCAUUACCUCUCUUCGAUUUCUCAAACCCUAUCUGGCUCUCUACCCAUAUGCUUCAGAUCCGCAUUAAAAAAGCUAAGUUUUUUGUUAUGUCCUUCUUUCUUAUUUGAUCAGUUUGUUCUUGUUUCACGAUUUUAACCUGAGAUUUUUUAUAUAUUUUCUCCAGAUCUGCUAUCCGCAGUCAUCUGUUCAUAGGAAAAGAUCUGGCUUUACUUUUAGAGAUUAUCUCAGAUCCAGCCUUUUACCCAAUUGAAGGUAGGUCCAUAUGCUGAAGAUUUAUCGCAGGAGCGACCACUACGGGAGCCGCCAUUGGAGAUUCUCUGUGAGAGAGAGAGAGAGAAAUAGUUUGAGAAUCAAUCUUCUGUAUUUUAUUGUGUAGAUCAAGUUAUUUAGUAUAUGCUAGUACUUAUGGUUAAAAUAGACUAUUAUUAAAAUUCAAAAGUAAUAAAGCCAACGAGUACACUAAACUCAGAUUAUAUUUUCCAAAACUAUUGCUAAAGAAUAUCAAUACGUACACUAGAUAUAGAAAUCGGAAUUAGGUACGUUGUGAUCCAUUUCAGCUACUGUUAGGGGUAAGAUUUGGGCUUGCUUGGCCCAAGGCCCAAAUCCAAGUCAAAGGCCUAAGCAGAAUGUUAAGUCAAGAGGGUAGGCUCGUCAAAAUCCUGGAGGAGUGUCCUACACGCAGAAGGCUAUAAAUACGGAAUAGCAUGUCUUGUCAAAGGGGGAUUCCGCCGGACACGCAGAGACACAGAGCAGCUCGUCAGCUCACCCGUCCGAAGUAUCCCGCCAGCCGGUCCGUCUCAAGCAGCUCGUCAGCUCACCCGUC